RNAcentral lists this ribosomal RNA (484 nucleotides) under uncultured bacterium. RNAcentral describes it as "partial 16S ribosomal RNA". It matches the Rfam family "Bacterial small subunit ribosomal RNA", at positions 30 to 507 of the family's 1533-position model. The record is from RNAcentral.
AUUGAACGCUGGCGGAAUGCUUUACACAUGCAAGUCGAGCGGCAGCACGGGGGCAACCCUGGUGGCGAGCGGCGAACGGGUGAGUAAUACAUCGGAACAUGCCCAGUCGUGGGGGAUAACACUUCGAAAGAAGUGCUAAUACCGCAUACGUCCUGAGGGGGAAAGCGGGGGAUCGCAAGACCUCGCGCGAUUGGAGUGGCCGAUGUCAGAUUAGCUAGUUGGUGGGGUAAAGGCCUACCAAGGCAACGAUCUGUAGCUGGUCUGAGAGGAUGAUCAGCCACACUGGGACUGAGACACGGCCCAGACUCCUACGGGAGGCAGCAGUGGGGAAUUUUGGACAAUGGGGGCAACCCUGAUCCAGCCAUUCCGCGUGAGUGAAGAAGGCCUUCGGGUUGUAAAACUCUUUCGGCAGGAACGAAACGGUGAGCUCUAACAUAGCUUGCUAAUGACGGUACCUGAAGAAGAAGCACCGGCUAACUACGUG